UUGAUCCUGGCUCAGAAUCAACGCUGGCGGCGUGCCUAACACAUGCAAGUCGAACGCGAAAGUCCCGCAAGGGAUUAGUAGAGUGGCAAACGGGUGAGUUACGCGUGGGUGACCUGCCUUCGAGUGGGGGAUAACGUCUCGAAAGGGACUCUAAUACCGCAUGACAUCCUGCCUUUGAAGAGGCGGAGAUCGAAGCCGGUGAUCGCAAGACCUGGCGCUUGAUGAGGGGCCCGCGUCUGAUUAGCUAGUUGGUGGGGUAACGGCUCACCAAGGCAACGAUCAGUAUCCGGCCUGAGAGGUCGGACGGACACACUGGGACUGAGACACGGCCCAGACUCCUACGGGAGGCUGCAGUGGGGAAUUGUUCGCAAUGGGCGCAAGCCUGACGACGCAACGCCGUGUGGAGGAUGAAGACCUUCGGGUCGUAAACUCCUUUCGAUCGAGACGAAUGGCUUCCGGGUGAAUAAUCCGGAAGAGUGACGGUACCGAGAGAAGAAGCUCCGGCUAACUCCGUGCCAGCAGCCGCGGUAAUAAGGU
This 537-nucleotide ribosomal RNA is filed under the name uncultured Acidobacteriota bacterium. RNAcentral describes it as "bacterial SSU rRNA". It matches the Rfam family "Bacterial small subunit ribosomal RNA", at positions 13 to 529 of the family's 1533-position model. The record is from RNAcentral. Lineage: Bacteria; Pseudomonadati; Acidobacteriota.